UACGGAGGAUGCGAGCGUUAUCCGGAUUUAUUGGGUUUAAAGGGUGCGUAGGCGGACUGUUAAGUCAGCGGUAAAAGCCCGGGGCUCAACCCCGGCGAGCCGUUGAAACUGGCUGUCUUGAGAUGUCGAGAGGUAUGCGGAAUGCGCAGUGUAGCGGUGAAAUGCAUAGAUAUUACACAGAACACCGAUUGCGAAGGCAGCUUGCUAGGCCGGAUCUGACACUGAUGCACGAAAGCGUGGGGAUCGAACAGG
This 252-nucleotide ribosomal RNA is filed under the name uncultured Bacteroidales bacterium. RNAcentral's name for it is "partial 16S ribosomal RNA". It matches the Rfam family "Bacterial small subunit ribosomal RNA", at positions 524 to 776 of the family's 1533-position model. The record is from RNAcentral. Lineage: Bacteria; Pseudomonadati; Bacteroidota; Bacteroidia; Bacteroidales.